GGAAUUCCUGGUGGAGCGGUGGAAUGCGCAGAUAUCAGGAGGAACACCGAUGGCGAAGGCAGGUUACUGGGCAGUUACUGACGCUGAGGAGCGAAAGCAUGGGGAGCGAACAGGAUUAGAUACCCUGGUAGUCCAUGCCGUAAACGUUGGGCACUAGGUGUGGGGACCAUUCCACGGUUUCCGCGCCGCAGCUAACGCAUUAAGUGCCCCGCCUGGGGAGUACGGCCGCAAGGCUAAAACUCAAAGAAAUUGACGGGGGCCCGCACAAGCGGUGGAGCAUGUGGUUUAAUUCGAUGAUACGCGAGGAACCUUACCCGG
This 318-nucleotide ribosomal RNA is filed under the name Chaetoceros affinis. RNAcentral's name for it is "partial Bacterial small subunit ribosomal RNA". It matches the Rfam family "Bacterial small subunit ribosomal RNA", at positions 663 to 978 of the family's 1533-position model. The record is from RNAcentral. Lineage: Eukaryota; Bacillariophyta; Thalassiosirophyceae; Chaetocerotales; Chaetocerotaceae.